This 262-nucleotide unclassified non-coding RNA is filed under the name plant metagenome. Its description in RNAcentral is "partial contains small subunit ribosomal RNA, internal transcribed spacer 1, and 5.8S ribosomal RNA". The record is from RNAcentral.
UCUCCGUUGGUGAACCAGCGGAGGGAUCAUUACCGAGUUUACAACUCCCAAACCCCUAUGUGAACGUUACCAAACUGUUGCCUCGGCGGGAAAUUCAUGCCCCGGGCGCGUCGCAGCCCCGGACCAAGGCGCCCGCCGGAGGACCAACCAAAACUCUUUUGUAUGUCCCUCGCGGACUUUUAUAAUUCUGAACCAACUCGGCGCCCCUAGCGGGCGUUUCGAAAAUGAAUCAAUACUUUCAACAACGGAUCUCUUGGUUCUG